AGAGACUACAUAACACUACAAAAAAGUGAGUAUAAGGGAUAAUUUUUGGGGACCAAUUUUUUUUAUGAUCCUCAAAUCAUAAUUUUUUUAUAUUAUAGGGGAUUAAUAUAUUUUUUGCCUCUAAUUGAAUUACCGGGGAUGACUUUUCUAUCAUAAUUUAAAAAAAAAAUUCUCACAUGUAAGAGACAAUUAUAUAUAUGAUCCCUGAAUUGUGAGUUAAGGGUACAAGUAAAUGCCCUUUGUUUCUUAAAGCCACGGAAAGUCGAAAAGUCUCGUUGAGAACCUCUAGCUGUUGCUGCUUCUUCUUCUUCGAGGUUUCCAAGGGAAGGAGGGAAUUCAAUCGAAUUUUUUAUUUGCUGUGAUGGGCUUUCACUGUUAUUCUACAUUUCUCUUCAACUCGAGAGAUCGAGCUAGAUUUGAUAGCGGCCCUUAUGAACACCAAAUGUUUGUUGAUUUGUCUGGUUGAAUUGGUAGUUGAUUUGUUGUUGUUUCAGUGUCAAGCUUAUGUAUUCACUCAUUGUUGUUCUUCAUGGCAAUUUCAAUGCUGUUUGUGUAGAAUUGUGCCAAAGUUACCUGACUUUGGGAAUCUUUGUAACUUUCUUGUUUCUCUGUUCAUGACAACCCAAGGGCUACAUUAAGACAAUAUGAGUAAAAUAUGAAAAAUAAUAGCUUAUGGGUGGACUUGACAAGGGCAUUAACGUGAUUAAAAAUUGGAAUAAAAAACAUAGCUGCAGUGUUCUUGCUAUCC
Long non-coding RNA from Hevea brasiliensis (rubber tree), 748 nucleotides. RefSeq lists it as uncharacterized. Lineage: Eukaryota; Viridiplantae; Streptophyta; Magnoliopsida; Malpighiales; Euphorbiaceae. The record is from RefSeq and is a predicted model, not a curated record. The transcript is spliced from 2 exons.